UACGGCGAGUGAGCGGCAAAAGCUCAAAUUUGAAAUCUGGUACCUUCGGUGCCCGAGUUGUAAUUUGGAGAGGGCAACUUUGGGGCCGUUCCUUGUCUAUGUUCCUUGGAACAGGACGUCAUAGAGGGUGAGAAUCCCGUGUGGCGAGGAGUGCGGUUCUUUGUAAAGUGCCUUCGAAGAGUCGAGUUGUUUGGG
RNAcentral lists this ribosomal RNA (195 nucleotides) under uncultured Saccharomyces. Its description in RNAcentral is "partial 26S ribosomal RNA". It matches the Rfam family "Eukaryotic large subunit ribosomal RNA", at positions 85 to 278 of the family's 3401-position model. Lineage: Eukaryota; Fungi; Ascomycota; Saccharomycetes; Saccharomycetales; Saccharomycetaceae. The record is from RNAcentral.